GUGGGGAAUAUUGGACAAUGGGGGGAACCCUGAUCCAGCCAUGCCGCGUGUGUGAAGAAGGCCUUUUGGUUGUAAAGCACUUUAAGCGAGGAGGAGGCUACCGAGAUUAAUACUCUUGGAUAGUGGACGUUACUCGCAGAAUAAGCACCGGCUAACUCUGUGCCAGCAGCCGCGGUAAUACAGAGGGUGCAAGCGUUAAUCGGAUUUACUGGGCGUAAAGCGCGCGUAGGUGGCCAAUUAAGUCAAAUGUGAAAUCCCCGAGCUUAACUUGGGAAUUGCAUUCGAUACUGGUUGGCUAGAGUAUGGGAGAGGAUGGUAGAAUUCCAGGUGUAGCGGUGAAAUGCGUAGAGAUCUGGAGGAAUACCGAUGGCGAAGGCAGCCAUCUGGCCUAAUACUGACACUGAGGUGCGAAAGCUAGGGCAGCGAACGGGAUUAGAAACCCGUGUAGUCC
Molecule: ribosomal RNA, 451 nt
Filed under: uncultured bacterium
Lineage: Bacteria
Description: partial 16S ribosomal RNA
Rfam family: Bacterial small subunit ribosomal RNA
Source: RNAcentral